GAAAACUCCGAGAACAAACUGUUUGAGCGUUUCAACGCUUGCUGUCUGUUGUAGGUAGAGUGGGACUCUCCGCCUGGGUUCGGCUACGGUUCGGUUCUCUAGAACCCGAACGAAUCUCAGCUUCGUGCAUCAAGAAACUGUAGACAUCUUGGCACUGUCAGUCAUUCAUGUGGGAAGCGGAGGCAGUUAUAACAAUAAAAAAAACUCUAUACGUAGAAGAAAGAAAAAAAAACAACAUCACCCACACCGAUGCAUUCAGGAUUUUAUAUGGCAGGCAGCGGGCGCGGGUAAACGUUUCAAGUAUCUGGACCAUAUACAUGGAGUGAUGCUAGGUCUGAGUUAGGGGUACAGCAAGCAAGGAUUGAUUUAAGAUUUCAAAACCGUUUUGUUCAAUGGGGCUUUCCCUUGAUUUUUGACUGAGCGAUCUAAACGACAAUAUUGUUUGCGAUCUCCUUAGAUAAAUAGCCAUCGCCCAGAAUUUUGUUUAUCCGGACUGUUGGAAAACAGUGCUGCCAUUUGAUUGCGAAUUUCAAGUAUUCCUCAAUUGACAUACAUUUUUGGAGCACCUGUUCAGUUGGUCAUUCUGAAUUAGGAUGAAUGGUCACAUUAAACCGUUUAAGAACCCUUCCUUAUAGACAACUUCUUUGAAUUUUACAGAUUUGGAAAAUUUUAAUGAAAUUUUUAAUUUAAAGUGCUCAUAAUAUAAUGAAAUGAAAUUUAAUUUAAAUGAAAAAUUUUCUGCCUCUGUUGGCCAACAUAAAUUCUUUAGCUAAUAAAAUUUUAAAAUCUGAGAUGGCGACUUCUAAUUAGAGCAAUCCCACUAAGAACGAUUAACCCAUUCAUGCCUGUGUUGUUUGUGGAUAACAACGUUUUUAAACAGCUAUAACUUUUGAUUAAGGCAAAAUUUGCUCACAAAAACAAGGAAGGCUAAUAAAUGUAACUAUUGCCUUUCAUUUGAGUAUUAAUAGUUUCAAGGACCAGCUAAAGAACUGAAGUUAAUGCAAUUAGUCUGAUUGGAUUCCGAUGGAGCUGUGCUGCCUGGAACAGUUUACGUUGACGAAAUAAAUAUUCUAGGAGAAUUGUAUUGAGCAUUCAUUGGAAGAUAAAAAUUGAGCAGCUUCUAGCACUGCGAGGGAAGCACCGUUUUCAAAGAAGAAUAGUUUUGAAACCCUACAUGCACGAGAAAAAAGAAAACAAAUUUCGACCAACCAUCGUCUAUUCAGAUGACGUAUUUCCGCAUCUAAUCAAAACUACCCGAGAAUGAGUUUCAGAUAAUUAAUACAUCUUUUCGAAAAAAAUAUACA
This is a long non-coding RNA of Topomyia yanbarensis, 1304 nucleotides long. RefSeq lists it as uncharacterized. The transcript has 3 exons. The record is from RefSeq and is a predicted model, not a curated record. NCBI's taxonomy places the organism in Eukaryota, Metazoa, Arthropoda, Insecta, Diptera, Culicidae.